UACGGGGGGUGCAAGCGUUGUUCGGAAUUAUUGGGCGUAAAGAGCGUGUAGGCGGCGUGAUAAGUCAGAUGUGAAAGCCCUGGGCUUAACCCAGGAAGUGCAUUUGAAACUGUCUUGCUUGAGUACGGGAGAGGGAAGAGGAAUUCCUGGUGUAGAGGUGAAAUUCGUAGAUAUCAGGAGGAACACCGGUGGCGAAGGCGACUUCCUGGCCCGAUACUGACGCUGAGACGCGAGAGCGUGGGGAGCAAACAGGAUUAGAAACCCUUGGUAGUCC
This 274-nucleotide ribosomal RNA is filed under the name uncultured bacterium. RNAcentral describes it as "partial 16S ribosomal RNA". It matches the Rfam family "Bacterial small subunit ribosomal RNA", at positions 524 to 796 of the family's 1533-position model. The record is from RNAcentral.